Molecule: non-coding RNA, 66 nt
Organism: Podarcis lilfordi (Lilford's wall lizard)
Lineage: Eukaryota; Metazoa; Chordata; Lepidosauria; Squamata; Lacertidae
Source: the annotation of a GenBank genome assembly
GCAGCUCAUUGGUAGAGCAUCUACUUUGCAUUCAGAAGGUUUCAGGUUCAAACCCUGGCAUCUCCA